RNAcentral lists this ribosomal RNA (504 nucleotides) under Brachydiplax chalybea. RNAcentral's name for it is "partial 16S rRNA". It matches the Rfam family "Bacterial large subunit ribosomal RNA", at positions 1819 to 2597 of the family's 2925-position model. Lineage: Eukaryota; Metazoa; Arthropoda; Insecta; Odonata; Libellulidae. The record is from RNAcentral.
GUCCUUUUGAAUUUAAUAUAAGGUCUGGCCUGCCCGGUGAUAUUUUAACGGCCGCGGUAAAUUGACCGUGCAAAGGUAGCAUAAUCAUUAGUCUUUUAAUAGAAGGCUGGAAUGAAAGGUUUAACGAGGAAUUAACUGUCUCAUCUUAUUUGUUUUAAAAUUUAAUUUUUUAGUCAAAAAGCUAAAAUUUUAUUGGUAGACGAGAAGACCCUAUAGAUCUUCAUAAGAUUUUAUAUAUUUAUUAAUAUAUUACUGUAAUUAUAUGAUAUCUUAUUUUGUUGGGGUGAUAAAAAUAUAUAACUAACUUUUUUAUUUUUCGAACAUUAAUUUAUGAUUAAUAGAUCCGUAAUUUACGAUUAUUAGAACAAGUUACCUUAGGGAUAACAGCGUAAUCCUCCUCCAGAGUUCUUAUUUACAGGAUGGGCUUGCGACCUCGAUGUUGGAUUAAGAUAAUAAUUAGGUGUAGCCGCUUAAUAUAUAGGUCUGUUCGACCUUUAAAUUCUU